Molecule: ribosomal RNA, 455 nt
Filed under: uncultured Pseudomonas sp.
Lineage: Bacteria; Pseudomonadati; Pseudomonadota; Gammaproteobacteria; Pseudomonadales; Pseudomonadaceae
Description: bacterial SSU rRNA
Rfam family: Bacterial small subunit ribosomal RNA
Source: RNAcentral
GCGGUGGAUGAUGUGGAUUAAUUCGAUGCAAACGCGGAAAACCUUACCUAACCCUUGACAUGUCCGGAAUCCCGAAGAGAUUUGGGAGUGCUCGCAAGAGAACCGGAACACAGGUGCUGCAUGGCUGUCGUCAGCUCGUGUCGUGAGAUGUUGGGUUAAGUCCCGCAACGAGCGCAACCCUUGUCAUUAGUUGCCAUCAUUUGGUUGGGCACUCUAAUGAGACUGCCGGUGACAAACCGGAGGAAGUGGGGAUGACGUCAAGUCCUCAUGGCCCUUAUAGGUGGGGCUACACACGUCAUACAAUGGAUGGUACAAAGGGUCGCCAACCCGCGAGGGGGAGCCAAUCCCAUAAAGCCAUUCGUAGUCCGGAUCGCAGUCUGCAACUCGACUGCGUGAAGUCGGAAUCGCUAGUAAUCGUGGAUCAGAAUGUCACGGUGAAUACGUUCCCGGGUCUU